RNAcentral lists this unclassified non-coding RNA (565 nucleotides) under Cladosporium angulosum. Its description in RNAcentral is "sequence contains ITS1, 5.8S rRNA gene and ITS2". The stretch from base 211 to 364 matches the Rfam family "5.8S ribosomal RNA". Lineage: Eukaryota; Fungi; Ascomycota; Dothideomycetes; Cladosporiales; Cladosporiaceae. The record is from RNAcentral.
UGGAAGUAAAAGUCGUAACAAGGUCUCCGUAGGUGAACCUGCGGAGGGAUCAUUACAAGUGACCCCGGUUUACCACCGGGAUGUUCAUAACCCUUUGUUGUCCGACUCUGUUGCCUCCGGGGCGACCCUGCCUUCGGGCGGGGGCUCCGGGUGGACACUUCAAACUCUUGCGUAACUUUGCAGUCUGAGUAAACUUAAUUAAUAAAUUAAAACUUUUAACAACGGAUCUCUUGGUUCUGGCAUCGAUGAAGAACGCAGCGAAAUGCGAUAAGUAAUGUGAAUUGCAGAAUUCAGUGAAUCAUCGAAUCUUUGAACGCACAUUGCGCCCCCUGGUAUUCCGGGGGGCAUGCCUGUUCGAGCGUCAUUUCACCACUCAAGCCUCGCUUGGUAUUGGGCAACGCGGUCCGCCGCGUGCCUCAAAUCGACCGGCUGGGUCUUCUGUCCCCUAAGCGUUGUGGAAACUAUUCGCUAAAGGGUGUUCGGGAGGCUACGCCGUAAAACAACCCCAUUUCUAAGGUUGACCUCGGAUCAGGUAGGGAUACCCGCUGAACUUAAGCAUAUCAAA